CUUUCCAUUCUCUCCUGCAGCUGGUGGGGUGCAGUCAGGCCGGUACCUGCUGCCAGGGGACCCCUUUCCUCCUGCGCCCUGUGGGGUCCCUGCAAGGGGAGGACCAGAAAGGCAAGGGCGGCCGCAGCGGCGAAGGGGAGCACAAGUGGAGAAGGGCCCUGGAGGAACCGUGCAUUUUGGAGCAGGGAAUACGGGACAGAGAACUUAAAGGAAAACUUCUGCAGACUUCAGCUAUAAAUCAAAAUAGAGCUGAGAGCUGACCACAAGAUUCCUGAGCUUUGUAACAACCUGAGGGGUGGUCCAGAGAGGCAGGGUGGUGGUGACUGCAUGCCCCCAGGAAGAGGCAUACAGGGCUAUACAGCGAGCAGUGGUCAUCAUCCCCACGUCUUCUGCAUCAAAAGUAACAAGGGAAAAUCUACAGCCAGCCUGAAACGUUACUCCCCAGAAGUUUCAGGUUCCAGGUUCCAGGACUGGAAAAAAAGCAGGCUGGGAAAAUAAUAAGGAAUGGCCAGGAAGAAAAAUCACUUUGCAACAACCAGACGCACGGAGCCUGAGAUGGCAGAAAUUUACAGCACCUUCUCCUUGGGCCUGGGACGCGAUAACUCCAUGCAGUGCAAGCUUCCUGCCCUUCAGGAGUCUGUUUCACAUCCCCAGGCAGAUGCACGGCAUCAUCAGCCUAAGAACCUGGCAGUCAACAUGGAAAACAGGGUAUGGGGCUAGAGUCAGAGACCCAGGACAUCUUCAUCCCCAGGAUUUGUGGCAAAAUCUUCUUAUGAAGAGUGUGGAGGAGGAAAAUGAAGCCAUGCAGUGUGUGUCUUUGAGGAUUCCUGUUAGAGAAGGAGAAAGUGUGAAGAUGCCGAUUUGA
RNAcentral lists this long non-coding RNA (865 nucleotides) under Falco tinnunculus (common kestrel). RNAcentral's name for it is "lncRNA (ENSFTIG00000008525.1)". The record is from RNAcentral. Lineage: Eukaryota; Metazoa; Chordata; Aves; Falconiformes; Falconidae.